AUAUUUACCUGACAGGGGAGGUACCAUGAUCACGAAGGUGGCUUUCCCAGAUGUGGCAUAUCCAUUGCACUCUGGAUGUGCUAACCCCUGCAAUAUCCCCACAUCAGGGAAACUUGACCGCAUAAUUUGUGGUAGUGGGGGACUGAGUUUAUGCUCUCUCUUU
Molecule: small nuclear RNA, 163 nt
Organism: Suncus etruscus (white-toothed pygmy shrew)
Lineage: Eukaryota; Metazoa; Chordata; Mammalia; Eulipotyphla; Soricidae
Product: U1 spliceosomal RNA
Exons: 1
Source: RefSeq, a predicted model, not a curated record